GUUCGUACGAAGUUCGUUAUGAAAUGGGGUGGUUGGUGUAUUGUAUAGUUCUAGGGAUUGUAUUUCCCUCAAAACCCACCAAAUGACUCCUCCCACAAUAUUAUGAUGUUCCCCAAGUUUUGGACUCAAUCCGAUAUCGAUUGGUCCUUGAAAUCGGACAAUUCAGGUUCGUACGAAGUUCGUUCUGAAAUGGGGUGGUUGGUGUAUUGAAUAGUUCUAGAGAUUGGAUUUCACUCAAAACCAACCACAUGACUCCUGCCACAAUAUUAUGAUGUUCACCAAGUUUUGGUCUCAAUCCGAUAUCGAUUGGUGCUUGAAAUCGGACAAUUCAGGUUCGUAUGAAGUUCGUUCGUAAAUACGGUGGUUGGUGUGUUGCAUAGUUCUAGAGAUAGGAUUUCACUCAAAACCCACCAAAUGUCUCCUCCCACAAUAUUAUUACGUUCUCCAAGUUUUGGACUCAAUCCGAUAUCGAUUCGUCCUUGAAAUCGAACAAUUCAGGUUCCUACGAAGUUCGUUCUGAAAUGGGGUGGUUGGUGUAUUGUAUAGUUCUAGGGAUUGUAUUUCACUCAAAACAUACCAAAUGACUCCUCCCACAAUAUUAUGAUGUUCCCCAAGUUUUGGACUCAAUCCUUUCUCGAUUUGUCAAUGAAAUCGGACAAUUCAGGUUCGUACGAAGUUCGUUCUGAAAUGGGGUGGUUGGUUUAUUGUAUCGUUCUAUAGAUUGGAUUUCACUCAAAACCCACCAAAUGACUCCUCCCAAAAUAUUAUGAUGUUCCCCAAGUUUUGGACUCAAUCCGAUAUCGAUUGGUCCUUGAAAUCGGACAAUUCAGGUUCGUACGAAGUUCGUUCUGAAAUGGGGUGGUUUGUGUAUUGUAUAGUUCUAGAGAUUGGAUUUCACUCAAAACCCACAAAAUGACUCCUCCCACAAUAUUAUGAUGUUCCCCUAGUUUUGGACAAAAUCCGAUAUCGAUUGGUCCUUGAAAUCGGAUAAUUCAGGUUCGUACGAAGUUCGUUCGUAAAUAGGGUGGUUGGUGUGUUGCAUAGUUCUAGAGAUAGGAUUUCACUCAAAACCCACCAAAUGACUCCUCCCACAAUAUUAUGAUGUUCCCCAAGUUUUGGACUCAAUCCGAUAUCGAUUGGUGCUCGAAAUCGGACAGUUCAAGUUCGUAUGAAGUUCGUUCUGAAAUGGGGCGGUUGGUGUAUUGUAUUCUAGAGAUUGGAUUUCCCUCAAAACCCACCAAAUGACUCCUCCCACAAUAUUAUUAUGUUCCCCAAGUUUUGGACUCAAUCCGAUAUCGAUUGGUCCUUGAAAUCGGACAAUUCAGGUUCGUACGAAGUUCCUUCUGAAAUGGGGUGGUUGGUGUAUUGAAUAGUUCUAGAGAUUGGAUUUCACUAAAAACCCACCAAAUGACUCCUCCCACAAUAUUAUGAUGUUCCCCUGGUUUUGGACUCAAUCCGAUAUCGAUCGGGUCCACGAAAUUUGACAAUUCAGGUUCAUACGAAGUUCGUUCUGAAAUGGAGGUGGUUUGGUGUAUUGCAUCGUUCUAGGGAUUGUAUUUUCACUCAAGACCCACCAAAUGACUCCUCCCACAAUAUUGUGAUCUUCCCCAAGUUUUGGACUCAAUCCGUUAUCGAUUGGUUAAUGAAAUCGGACAAUUCAGGUUCGUACGAAGUUCGUUC
This 1680-nucleotide long non-coding RNA is filed under the name Prunus persica (peach). RNAcentral describes it as "long non-coding RNA (PPER_LNC008717)". The record is from RNAcentral. Lineage: Eukaryota; Viridiplantae; Streptophyta; Magnoliopsida; Rosales; Rosaceae.